Molecule: microRNA, 23 nt
Filed under: Raphanus sativus (radish)
Lineage: Eukaryota; Viridiplantae; Streptophyta; Magnoliopsida; Brassicales; Brassicaceae
Description: rsa-miRn21
Source: RNAcentral
CAGAGACAGAGAGGAGAAAGGAA